CCCUUAGAUGUUCUGGGCCGCACGCGCGCUACACUGAUGCAUUCAACGAGUCUAAAACCUGCUCUGAUAGGGGUGGGAAAUCUUUUGAAUGUGCAUCGUGAUUGGGAUAGAUGAUUGCAAUUUUUCAUCUUCAACGAGGAAUGCCUAGUAAACGCAAGUCAUCAGCUUGCAUUGAUUACGUCCCUGCCCUUUGUACACACCGCCCGUCGCUCCUACCGAUUGAAUGAUCCGAUGAAUAUCAUGGAUUGAGGAUGCAAGUAGGUUAGCCUAUCUUCAUCUUCGAGAAGUGAAGUAAAUCUUAUCAUUUAGAGGAAGGAGAAGUCGUAACA
Molecule: ribosomal RNA, 329 nt
Filed under: uncultured eukaryote
Lineage: Eukaryota
Description: partial 18S ribosomal RNA
Rfam family: Eukaryotic small subunit ribosomal RNA
Source: RNAcentral